UUUCUUUGAGUCACACGCUACGUGUAAAAUUUAUGUGACACGUGAGUGUUGAAAUUUUAAUUAUUGGUCAACAUUUAUUUCACCGAAAUUUUGAUGUCUACAAAGUUGAGGCCAAUAAAAAAAAUCAACAACUAAGUCAAUUGUCAUUAAAACUACGAUCUAGUAAUAUUAGGUAUUUCUCUUUAUUUAUAACUACUAAAAUGCAUAUCUGGUUAUAUAAUCUUGAAUCCAAGCAUGAAACUAAAUCUGGAAUUAUGUUCGAGUUGUUUGCUAUGGGUGUUUAUAGCAUCUAUGGUAUAGCUGUGCAACUAAUUAUGAUGAAAGGUUAGUUUACUUGAUCAUUAGAAUGAUCUAGUUCUAGCUUCCUUCUGUUUUUGUUACUUGAUCAUUAGAUGAUACAUAUCAUGAUAUCUAUUUCCAUUAUUGAAUUAUUAGAAACCAUCAUUUCAACUUGUAUCAUGAUAUGUAUGUGGUUUUCUUCAAUUUAACUUCUUGUUUCUACUUCUACAUGUCUAGGAGGUUUUACUUUAGGGAGUUUUAACGAAAAGAGCCUAGCAUUAUUCAUUCUUAAUCAAAAUGACAUUUUGUGUAUGAAAAGCCCAUGACGGAUCAAGCCCUUUUCUUUAUUUACUCUUAUGCCAUUAUUUUAUUAUUUUAGCGGGGUCCACAAUGAUCUUGACAUUUCUUUCUAGAAAUACACUAUUUUACAUUAUGUUAUUCAACUUAUGCUAAUUUGCCGACAGCUCUUCAUGUUUCCAUCAUGUUGUCGAUGUUAUGCAGCUCUUCUUCUGUCAAAUUGUUCCAAUACUGCUAUCGCUUUCUACUAGCUCUGCAUCUCUUUCUCUAUCUUCUUUCACCUUGUAGUACAUUUCUGUUAUUUCUUCUUUGAAAUUUUGAGGCUUCCAAUAGGGCUGAUGACUGAUCCUUGUCUUAUUGUAAAUAUACAUUUCUUCUUCUUCGGCUACUAAUAUCAUAUCAUACCUAAAAUCUUCAAACUCAUAUAAGGCUAACAUUUAGAUCCCUUGAAAUUUUAGAAUAUUUUUGCAUGAAGGAGUCCACCUAUGUAAGGAGAUAGGGGAUAGUCUAAAGGACUCUUCAUUAAUCAUGGCUCUAUGUCUAGCUUUCUACUUAUGCAUAUGUACAUACCAAUGUGGAGGACUACUAAUAAAACUUAUGCAAAUUUCUUUCCACUUUUCCAGACAAUCUUCUGCUACUUUCAUAAGUUUUUUAGAGAAAUGAUU
Molecule: long non-coding RNA, 1241 nt
Filed under: Malus domestica (apple)
Lineage: Eukaryota; Viridiplantae; Streptophyta; Magnoliopsida; Rosales; Rosaceae
Description: long non-coding RNA (MDOM_LNC008165)
Source: RNAcentral